UAGCUCAGUUAGUAGAGCAGUUGAAUUUUAAUCAAAUGGUUAAAAGUUCGAGUCGAGCGAAGCGAGACAGCAACGCGUUAGCGUUGGCCUGAAAGGUGAGUCCGUAGGGCGAGUAAUCCCGCACGACUGGCAC
Molecule: small RNA, 133 nt
Filed under: Yersinia frederiksenii
Lineage: Bacteria; Pseudomonadati; Pseudomonadota; Gammaproteobacteria; Enterobacterales; Yersiniaceae
Description: RtT sRNA
Rfam family: RtT RNA
About the family: This family represents a bacterial cis-regulatory element known as RtT RNA.
Source: RNAcentral